RNAcentral lists this ribosomal RNA (555 nucleotides) under uncultured Glomus. RNAcentral describes it as "SSU rRNA". It matches the Rfam family "Eukaryotic small subunit ribosomal RNA", at positions 548 to 1103 of the family's 1831-position model. The record is from RNAcentral. Lineage: Eukaryota; Fungi; Glomeromycota; Glomeromycetes; Glomerales; Glomeraceae.
UUGGAGGGCAAGUCUGGUGCCAGCAGCCGCGGUAAUUCCAGCUCCAAUAGCGUAUAUUAAAGUUGUUGCAGUUAAAAAGCUCGUAGUUGAAUUUCGGGAUCAAUGUUUCGGUCAUGCCGUUGGUAUGUACUGAUAUUAUUGGUUUCUCACCUUCUAAAGAACCGUAAUGCCAUUAAUUUGGUGUCACGGGGAAUUAGGACUGUUACCUUGAAAAAAUUAGAGUGUUUAAAGCAGGCUCACGCUUGAAUACAUUAGCAUGGAAUAAUGAAAUAGGACAUCCGAUUCUAUUUUGUUGGUUUCUAGGAUCGAUGUAAUGAUUAAUAGGGAUAGUUGGGGGCAUUAGUAUUCAAUUGUCAGAGGCGAAAUUCUUGGAUUUAUUGAAGACUAACUACUGCGAAAGCAUUUGCCAAGGAUGUUUUCAUUAAUCAAGAACGAAAGUUAGGGGAUCGAAGACGAUCAGAUACCGUCGUAGUCUUAACCAUAAACUAUGCCGACUAGGGAUCGGAUGAUGUUAAUUUUUUAAUGACUCAUUCGGCACCUUACGGGAAACCAAAG